AUAUAUAUAUAUAUAUAUAUACAUUUAUAUAUAAAUUUACAGUGGCGCCCUUUAAUUUAAGAACACUAGUAGAUAAAUAUUAAAAUGGCAUUUUCUAAAUAUAUUCUAGUUGUAAAUCUGAAUUAAGAAGCCUAUCAAAACCAGCAUAUAAAUAUUAAAUUAAAAAUAAACUUUAUUUUGUGUAAUUUAUGUUGCCACUGAAUUGAAGAGUGAUCUCCCAAAUUUUGGGGGAUCUUUUUGCCGUAUUGACUAACAUAAAGGUAGAGUAAUUUGUAUGCUGUUACAAUAUUUAAGUUAGUCAAUAGUUGUGAUGGGUCAGAGACAAAAGUUAACACCAGAAACCAGAGUGAAGAUCGUUCAGGCUUAGUAGGCUGAAAUAGUCAUACAAAACUAUUUUAAAUGAAGUUGGAUGAGCUAAAACAGCUGUCUAGAUUGCUCUCUGUUGUUAUAAAGAAACUAAUGAUUGCAAAGACAACUCUGAACCUGGGCAACCAAGAAAAACAAUGGCAGGAAUGGAUAGAUAUACUGAUAGACUGUCCCUAAAAAAAUGUAAAAUGACUGCUGUUGACAUUUUUGAAAGAAAUUCGGCAAAAAUAUGGACUUACCAUAAAAUGCUGUCUCAAAGAAUUUGGACUUCUAGGAAGAGUCUCUUGGAAAAAGCCAUAUAUUUCUUUUAAAAAAUCAACAUGCCUGAAUACAGUUUGCAAAAGAGUAAGCCAGCAGAUCGGUCGAAUGUGUUGUCGGACAAGUCAAAGCUCAACUUGUUCAGCAGUGAUGGCAGGAAGUAUGUAAGAAAGCAUAUAGGCAAAGAAUUAUUAGGAGCACUCCAUCGGUUACGACGAUGAGGGUCCCAGCUGAUACGAUCAACGGAACAGCUUGCUCGUGGAAUUAACGUGCAAGUGGCUGAGCAUUCCACAGACACGUGUACCCUUAAAGUAGUUCUCAAGGAGAUUCAACGUGACACAGAGUGUGACAAGGCUGGCCCUUUGAAAUACAGGUACAACAGAAACAGGAAGAAAAAGUGAGAGAAAGUUGUGGUGAAAAAGUACAGCAGGGUUCACCACCACCUCCUGCCUGAGCCUUGUGAAGCUUUAGGUGUUUUCGCUCAAUAAACACUCACAAUGCCCGGUCUGGGAAUCAAAACCGCGAUCCUACGACCGUGAGUCCGCUGCCCUAACCACAGGGCCAUUGCGCCUCCACAGGCAAAGAAUAUCAUCCAGAAUGCAUCCAACCUACAAUUAAGCAUAGUGUUGGGGUGCAUAUCUGGAAAAGGCAUCGGUCCUAUAAUCUAAAUCAAGGGCAUUAUGGAUAGUAAGUUCCUAUCUAGAAAUAUUGGAUAAAACUAUGUUUCUAUAUGCCCGAAAGCAUUUGGGGUGAUCUUGGGUAGAGCUGUGCAAAGUAGUAAGCCAAAAAAUAAGGAUGAUUUUUGUAACAUUAUCAGCCAAAAUUGGGGAAAAAAUCUCAGGAACAGUGAUAAAUGCUCUGAACAAUUCUAUGUUUCGCAGAUGCAAAGCUGUGUUAAGUAACUUUGGAUACCCAAACAAAUACUGAUUGUGUGAGCUUAUUACUGUUUUUUUGUUGAUCUCAGAAUAAAUUUUUUUUUGGCAAAAAAAUGAAAUUUUACAAAUCGUUCUUAAAUUAAAUGGCUCUAUAAAUUAUGAUAAUUAAGCUCUAUUUUUAAUUUUAAAUUAAUAUGUUGAUGUUAUGCUGUAAAGUUGUAUACAAUAUUAAAGUUUGUGAAAUUUUCUUUAUUUUGAUAUACAUCUUAAUUCACAAUUUACAACUUG
Molecule: long non-coding RNA, 1787 nt
Filed under: Octopus vulgaris (common octopus)
Lineage: Eukaryota; Metazoa; Mollusca; Cephalopoda; Octopoda; Octopodidae
Source: RNAcentral